RNAcentral lists this long non-coding RNA (244 nucleotides) under Sus scrofa (pig). Its description in RNAcentral is "lncRNA (ENSSSCG00015008371.1)". Lineage: Eukaryota; Metazoa; Chordata; Mammalia; Artiodactyla; Suidae. The record is from RNAcentral.
GCAGACCUGAACAUGCAAGUCUAAGGAUCUGGCCCCGCCCCCUGCUUCCUUUACCACACUCGACAAUAUCCACGAACUGUUUCAUUUUUGAUUAGAUGGGGUGAUCUUAAUCAUCUUCAGACCUGGAACUUCAGUCUCUCUGACAUCCUGUGUCUGGGGCAAGAUAGAACUCAUCCAACAAAAGAGUAGAGAGAAGAUCAAGCCCUAUUUGCCAGUGUCUCCCAUCACAUGCCUUAUGAAGGGG